Long non-coding RNA from Musa acuminata AAA Group (dessert banana), 1980 nucleotides. RefSeq lists it as uncharacterized. The transcript is spliced from 4 exons. NCBI's taxonomy places the organism in Eukaryota, Viridiplantae, Streptophyta, Magnoliopsida, Zingiberales, Musaceae. The record is from RefSeq and is a predicted model, not a curated record.
GUUUUAUCGGAUCUUAUCAGACCGAUACCGACCGAUACGAACAAUAUAACGGUUCUCGAGCUCGGCCUACAAAACCCCGAACAGAAGACGAGGGAAACACCGGAUGCGGACUCCGCCUCCUCCUCUUCUGGGCCGGAGCGCUCUCGAUGCCUCAGCCGCCCUCCCUCCGUCGCUGACGUCCUCUCCUUUCAUUUCUUUGCGGAUUAUUUGGUCUGCUUCUCGUUUGAUUCACGUGGACUGCGACGCAGGUGUCUGCAUCUGCUCUUGAAUGCGUUGGUCGAUGCGUCUCAAGCUCCCAAUUCGAUCUCUCAGUAGCCAAAGUGGUCUCACUGAUGGGAAUUGUUCUUGGAGAAAACUAUACAUGGAAUUGAUUCGUUCUGGUGUAAAGCCAAAUACAAGCAGUUGGAUAUCAUGCAGAGGACUGAAGACUGUUGAAGCCUACUUUGAAGAAAGUUAAUGCACGACGACACACAAUUUGGUUUGUGUACAGUGUUGCCACAGAGAAGGAACUCUACAUCACCUAUACACACAAAUUAUAUGCCAUGUUGGUUAAAUUUUUCCUUCGGAUGCAAGGAUCACCAUGUUGAAUUGAGUUGAUUGCAGAUGCCAAGGAGAAGAUGGAGCUGAUCACUCUAACCCUGGGAAGUUACUUUUGGAUGGUGAGUGGGAAAUCACCACAACCCAGCUUGAUCUUCUUCCAGCUCAUGCGCUGAAACUUAGGCAAGUAAGUCCUGGAAUGGUCCACCGAGAAGAAUCUCUCACACUUGUAUGCAGGCCACAUGAAGCCAAACUGGAGCAGCUGCAGCAGUACUGUCACACCUCUGGCAUUGGACUCCUUCAAGAGCAGCGAUUGAAAGAUCAUCAUAAAACGUCACAAGUGAACACACAGUCAACUGAAUCGUGGCCUUCUUGAUCAUUCCUUACAGUGGUCAAGGAAAGCAGAAUGCAGUAUCAUCAGUGUCUGUGCUGUCUCCUAAUCUUCCACGGCCAUUUGUCUCACCAAACUGUAUAUGAUCGACUGAAAAGGGCAAGCAUUGAUCAUUUGGGUGCAGUAGCAUCAGUAUCCGUGCCCUAAUUAUGAUGCAGGAGCCUGUCUCUGCACUCCUAAUGGUUUCAUGGCAUCCCAGGGGAACAAAUGGCUCAGUAAACUGCAUACAGUUAUUUAGCAAGGAAACUUCUUGAUCGUUCUUCAUCAGUGUCAUCUGUGCUCUUAAGUAUGAUGCAGGAGACUCUGCACUCAAUGUUCUUCCAAGGCACCAGAGGAGAACAAUGGCUCAGUAAACUGCAUAAGACUCAGCUUAUAGAUCAUUCUUCAUCAGUGUCAUCUGUGCUCCAAGUAUGAUGUAGGAGACUGUGUCUGCACGCCUAAUCUUUCAUGGCAUCCGAGGAGAACAAAUCAGUGAACUGCAUACAGUCAACUGACAAGGGAAGUUCUUGAUCAUUCUGCAUCAGUGACAUCUGUGCUGCUCUAAGUAUGAUGCAGGAGACUGUGUCUGCACUCCUAAUCUCUCAUGGCCUUCCAGAGAACAAAUGGCUCGGUAAACUGCAAGCAGUCAAACUGAUAAAAGCAACCUCUUGAUCAUUGUUCGCAUUGACUCUACUGCUGCUUUCCUAAUCUCAAGGCCUAAUCUCUGAGGAGGAGAACAGUGCAUGGCUCAGAAAACCAAAACAUCAAGAACAAGAGAGGAAGAGGUAAGAGAAUAAAACAAAAGGGGGAAGGGGGAGAAUUAAAUGCUCGGGAGACCCGCAUGCAGAGGUGCAGCUGUCACGUAAUGAUGGUGGUGGGUUGACAACUUUAAACCAGCAGCCCCCGUUUCUGCAGAGAGAGAGAGGAGAGAGGACGAGCCUUUGGGUUGGCGAAGGACUUCAUUGCCAGUCUUUGUUUGCUGUAAAAUAUUUGCUAAUGUACUUUACAGAUGGCCACCAGAUUUUUGUGUUCUAAGUCCAAGUAUUAAAUGCAUAUUCUGUGAAUUAGCAUCA